AAGCCUCCAGAACAGUUGCUGCUGCGCUACCAGAUACACUCCCAGCCAAACACGACUGAGACAGACCCCCACCACCCACCAGCUGAUCUACAUUCGGUCGCGGGCAUGCUGGAGCCUAUCCCAACUAUCAUCUGGCAGGAAGCAGUUUUUGGGAUGUGGGGGGAAACCGGAGUGCCCAGACAAAAUCCACGCAGGCACGGGGAGAACAUGCAAACUCCACACAGGCGGGGGCGGGAUUGAACCCAGGUCCUCAGAACUGUGAGGCAGACGCUCUAACCAGUCGACACCGUGCCGCCCUGUACAAUAUUAGUGCCUAAUAAUAUCGAGGAAAUUACUAGCUUCACACAAAAUCCCAACUUUGUCCUCUCUCAACGUAUUAAACGCGCACAUUCACAUUAUUAGCCAGCAAGACACAGUGUUCUAUGUCCCCUUUUGUACACCUAUUUUUCUUCUUUAUACCAUUAUUAGUGUUGCUUUCUUUUUUUAGUCAGAACCAUUUUGUGUGUUUCCCUGUAGAUCCCUUGUAGAUGUCAUUAAAUAUACCAAAAAUUCCA
Molecule: long non-coding RNA, 554 nt
Organism: Phycodurus eques (leafy seadragon)
Lineage: Eukaryota; Metazoa; Chordata; Actinopteri; Syngnathiformes; Syngnathidae
Exons: 3
Source: RefSeq, a predicted model, not a curated record